This 422-nucleotide ribosomal RNA is filed under the name uncultured bacterium. RNAcentral's name for it is "bacterial SSU rRNA". It matches the Rfam family "Bacterial small subunit ribosomal RNA", at positions 355 to 774 of the family's 1533-position model. The record is from RNAcentral.
UGAGGAAUAUUGGGCAAUGCCCGCAAGGGUGACCCAGCAACGCCGCGUGGAGGAUGAAUGUCGUAAGAUUGUAAACUCCUGUUAGAGGGGAAGAAUAGUACCGGUUGGACCGGUAUAUGACUGUACCCUCAGAGAAAGCCCCGGCUAACUACGUGCCAGCAGCCGCGGUAAUACGUAGGGGGCAAGCGUUGUCCGGAUUUACUGGGUGUAAAGGGCGCGCAGGCGGGAUAAAAAGUCAGUGGUGAAAUCCUACAGCUUAACUGUAGAACGGCCUUUGAUACUUUUAUUCUUGAGUUCGGGAGAGAGAGACGGAAUUCCAGGUGUAGUGGUGAAAUACGUAGAUAUCUGGAAGAACACCAGUUGCGAAGGCGGUCUCUUGGUCCGACACUGACGCUGAGGCGCGAAAGCGUGGGGAGCAAACA